UUUCUUUUAAGUCCCUUGUUUGCUCAUUUUUCAAAACGUAACCUCACCCUCUCCUCUCGUCACCUCCUCCUUUCCCUAUGCCAUCCUCCCUUUGUAGAUACUAUGAUCCUUCCCCUCCCUCCUGGCCCACCACUGUCAUUGUCACCCUCUCCCUCGGCCACCAUCGCACUCAUCCCCAUCCUCUUUCGGUUGCCUUCACCUUCCCUUUGGCGGCGCCACCUAUUCAACCCCAUCCCUCCUUCUUCGCCACCUUUACCAUCUUCAUUGGCCUCUCCCUUGGCAACGAGAUCUGCCUCCACCUCAGAACUCCUUCCAUGUAGGCUCCCCACCAUCGCGUUGCCACUACAUUGUCGAGUCACCGCUACAUUGUCAAGCCGCCACCCUACUGCCGCGUCGAUGUUGCCCCACUUUCAUUGUCACUUGACUCCUCAUUGUUGUGUGCCUCCCUUUAUCGCGUUCCACCCUUCUUUUGAACGCUUCCCCGCUUCCACUGCCUCAUUGUUGCACUGCCCCUCAAUGUCUUGUUGCCACCACAUCCAUUACCUUCUAUUGGGUGUGUCUGUUUGUGAUAGAAGUAUCAAAUAGAAUAUGUUGUGAAUUGGUUUGCCAAAGAGGAAAGAAGGAGAUUUUACAAGGGAGACUUAGCACAGUAAUUGGUUUGCCAAAGUGGAAGGAUGGAUACAACCUUGUCAACACAACAAGUUCCAAAUGAUUUGAAUGUAGAAAUGCACCUGCCCUAUUUGGGAAGGGACGACACGCGGUAUGUGGAACUCAAAGCAUACAUGUAAAGAAUAUUGAAAUUGUUUAGCGAUGUGUUUCUUAUUUACUGUCUUCCAGAACGGGAUUGUAUCAUUUGUAUGCAAAAAGGGAAGCACUUAUAGGAAUUAUAGGAAUAUUCUCAUGUUUUGAUGUUGAAUAACUAUGGAAUGUAUGUAAA
Lotus japonicus is the source of this 937-nucleotide long non-coding RNA. RefSeq lists it as uncharacterized. The record is from RefSeq and is a predicted model, not a curated record. The transcript is spliced from 3 exons. NCBI's taxonomy places the organism in Eukaryota, Viridiplantae, Streptophyta, Magnoliopsida, Fabales, Fabaceae.